UCAAAAUAUGUGUUAAAACGGCAAGCGGGGGACAUUCAGAGGCACGUCUGUCGCUAGUUUCUAGAACCUUCUUUCUUCUCUCCGAGCUCAAUCCGCCGUUGAUCCCAAUUGGUUUAGAUCGCAUCUUCAACCCUCCCCUACCCGAGGAGAGAUCAUCCACCUGAAAAGCAAUGUGAUCGUCGAUCUUCUUCUUUUCAAAGCUACUUCGCACCAGAACAAGGAGAUUGCAUUCAUCGUGUUGCGGAUUUUGUGUUCGUCUGUUGGAUUAUCCACUCCCUUUGAUGUGAGAUGGACAGUAUUCAUGCGAGCGAUGGACGGAUGCAUAUUAGCCAUGCACAGCAUUCGAUGCACACACAAUCUGUGCAAGACCAGGAACAUCAUGACUUGCAUUAUAUGAGUAAUGGGGAUGGAUUGGCUGAUGAACAUGAAAAUGAAGGUCAUGGUAUUAUGGUUGGGGAAAGGGAAGUUCAAUCGGACCAUGGCGAUCUUGCCGAGAAUCGUGGUGUAAUGGUGGAUCGAGGUGGCGAUAACUGCGACCAGCUCAGCCUGUCUUAUCAGGGUCAAGUUUAUGUUUUCGAUUCCGUCUCGCCCGAAAAGGUUCAAGCCGUGUUAUUAUUAUUGGGAGGUCAUGAAGUACCUUUGCGUGUUCCGUCAAUCCCAAUAACCAAUCAACAAAAUGAUAGGAAUCUCACUGAUGAAGCGUUUAACCAGGCACUUGCCAAUAUCCCCCCACGUCUAAGUGUCCCUCAGAGAUUAGCUUCUUUGAUUAGAUUUCGUGAAAAGCGAAAGGAACGAAAUUUUGACAAGAAAAUUCGGUAUACAGUUCGUAAAGAGGUAGCACUUAGGAUGCAGCGUAAUAAAGGCCAGUUCACAUCUUCUAAACCCAUUCAUGAAGAUUCAUCAUUGGCCAUAGCAAGUUGGGAACCAAAUGAGGGUUGGAGUAAUGAUGGAAAUGGAUCCCAACAACAGGAGAUUCUUUGCCGACAUUGUGGUAUUAGUGAGAAGUCAACACCAAUGAUGCGACGUGGACCAGAUGGGCCAAGAACCCUUUGCAAUGCUUGCGGACUCAUGUGGGCAAACAAGGUCUUCCAUGCACGAGCCUGAAAAUGAGCAUUUAGCAGCUCUGCUUUUGGCCUUGGCAAUUCUUUUCUAUGUUUUUGUUUCUAUUACUUCUAAUUUGUAUCGCUGGACUGUUAAGGGAACUCUCCGGGACCUCUCAAAAGCUCCAAAUCAAGGUGGACAAACUGCAACCUUCAAUAGAAAUGAGAAUGCUGUGCAGAAUGGAGAUUCUGAGUCCAACCCAAAUGGUGUUUAGAAUUGUGACAGAUGUUUAUGAUUCCUGCUGCAGAAUUUAGCAAAAAUCAUACGUAUCUCCUACAGAGAUUAGUUUGAAACGGGUUAAUCGACAUUUGACAGAUUUAAAAUUUCACUGAUGGAUAUGAAUAUUCACACCCAUCGACAGAGAAACCCUUGUUUAUCUUCUAAGCUGGCUAAUUCAUCUUGGAAUCAAGGGCACCGUGUACGCGUACUAAUUUAUUGGCCUCUUGUUUUAUCAUACUGCGAACCAUUUCAAAUUAUCAAUUCCUAGAAUCUUGUAAAUUAUCAUUUCCUGCGGGUGUACAAUGGACGUUUUUUUUAAAAUCCGAUUCUAUUUUUGUCCUG
Molecule: non-coding RNA, 1662 nt
Organism: Benincasa hispida (wax gourd)
Lineage: Eukaryota; Viridiplantae; Streptophyta; Magnoliopsida; Cucurbitales; Cucurbitaceae
Source: RefSeq, a predicted model, not a curated record